Molecule: ribosomal RNA, 497 nt
Filed under: uncultured bacterium
Lineage: Bacteria
Description: partial 16S ribosomal RNA
Rfam family: Bacterial small subunit ribosomal RNA
Source: RNAcentral
GAUAAACGCUGGCGGCGUGCCUAAUACAUGCAAGUCGAGCGAACAGACGAGGAGCUUGCUCCUCUGACGUUAGCGGCGGACGGGUGAGUAACACGUGGAUAACCUACCUAUAAGACUGGGAUAACUUCGGGAAACCGGAGCUAAUACCGGAUAAUAUAUUGAACCGCAUGGUUCAAUAGUGAAAGACGGUUUUGCUGUCACUUAUAGAUGGAUCCGCGCCGCAUUAGCUAGUUGGUAAGGUAACGGCUUACCAAGGCAACGAUGCGUAGCCGACCUGAGAGGGUGAUCGUCCACACUGGAACUGAGACACGGUCCAGACUCCUACGGGAGGCAGCAGUAGGGAAUCUUCCGCAAUGGGCGAAAGCCUGACGGAGCAACGCCGCGUGAGUGAUGAAGGUCUUCGGAUCGUAAAACUCUGUUAUUAGGGAAGAACAAAUGUGUAAGUAACUAUGCACGUCUUGACGGUACCUAAUCAGAAAGCCACGGCUAACUACGUG